GACGUUUCAAGAUGCGAAAGCUAGGGGGAGAGGAACGGGAUUAGAAACCCCGGUUAUUCCCUAGCCGUAAACGAUGUCAACUAGGCCGUAGGAGGUUAUUGACCCCCUUCUGUGCUGCAGCCUAACGGCGUUAAGUUGACCCCGCCUGGGGACUACCGGCCGCAAGGCUAAAACUCAAAGGAAUUGAGCGGGGACCCGCACAAGCAGCGGAGCGUGUGGUUUAAUUCGAGGCUACGCGAAGAACCUUACCAGGGUUUGACAUAUACGUGGUAGAGAAGAGAAAUCGGAUCGACCCUUCGGGGAGCGUAUACAGGUGCCGCAUGGCUGUCGUCAGCUCGUGCCGUGAGGUGUUAGGUUAAGUCCUGUAACGAGCGCAACCCUCGUCGUUAGUUAUACGUGUCUAACGAGACUGCCCGUGAUAAGCGGGAGGAAGGUGGGGAUGACGUCAAGUCAGCAUGGCCUUUAUAUCCUGGGCUAACAC
This 481-nucleotide ribosomal RNA is filed under the name uncultured bacterium. RNAcentral's name for it is "bacterial SSU rRNA". It matches the Rfam family "Bacterial small subunit ribosomal RNA", at positions 742 to 1219 of the family's 1533-position model. The record is from RNAcentral.